This 256-nucleotide ribosomal RNA is filed under the name uncultured bacterium. RNAcentral's name for it is "partial 16S ribosomal RNA". It matches the Rfam family "Bacterial small subunit ribosomal RNA", at positions 526 to 779 of the family's 1533-position model. The record is from RNAcentral.
CGUAGGGCGCAAGCGUUAUCCGGAUUUAUUGGGCGGUAAAGGGACGUCGUAGGCGGCUCGUCGCGUCCGGUGUGAAAGUCCAUCGCUUAACGGUGGAUCUGCGCCGGGUACGGGCGGGCUUGAGUGCGGUAGGGGAGACUGGAAUUCCCGGUGUAACGGUGGAAUGUGUAGAUAUCGGGAAGAACACCGAUGGCGAAGGCAGGUCUCUGGGCCGUCACUGACGCUGAGGAGCGAAGCGUGGGGAGCGAACAGGAUU